RNAcentral lists this ribosomal RNA (510 nucleotides) under Triticum aestivum (bread wheat). RNAcentral describes it as "partial small subunit ribosomal RNA". The record is from RNAcentral. Lineage: Eukaryota; Viridiplantae; Streptophyta; Magnoliopsida; Poales; Poaceae.
AUGUCAUGUUUCAAGCUGCCUCGGGGAUUAUGUGAGAAGCUUUCGGCUGCUAUACGGUUUUUCUUUUGGGAAAGUAAGCAAGGUAAAAGGAAACCCCACUGGGUGUCUUGGGAUAAGAUAUGUAUGCCACGUUACAUGGGAGGUCUUGGGUUCAGAGAUUUCAAACUGUUUAACUUAGCUUUUUUGGCACGCCAGUCUUGGAGGAUUCUGAGUUCCCCGGAGUCGCUAAGUGCUCGUAUCCUCAAAGGGGUUUAUUUUCCUUCCUGCUCUAUCUUGGAAGCUAAUUUGGGAAGCCACUCGUCCCAGAUAUGGCGCUCAAUUUUGGAAGGAAGAGACAUAAUGAAGCAAGGGCUAGUAAGAAGGAUUGGUAAUGGGGCUACAACCGGCGUUUGGACCACUAACUGGAUCCCAAGACCAGAAAAAAUGCAUCCAUUGCUGUCAAGAGUGACGAAUCCACCAGAGUUAAUUUCCCAACUAAUUGAUACUACAAACGCUAGGUGGAAUUCAUAA